AUGGUGCGCAAGAUCGGAUACCAUAUGGAGGACGUUGACGGCGACCAUGCGAUACGGAUGAUCGAGGUGGACACGAAGCGCAUGGAGCUGCGAUCCGUCGUCUGUUACGACGACAACAACAAUUUCUGCUCUCCCCCUGAGUUCAUUCCCGGCGUGAUCUCACAGUACCUCGAUGCCUCCUCUCGCAACAGCCGUCCUCCGGCAAAGCGCCAUGAGCAAGCACCGACGACGGCGGCGGCAACAAUUAUUAAUGAACUCAACUCAUCGGAUAACAAGGCGGCCAUGGCUUCUCCUGGGGAGAUGUUGGCGACACUCCGGGAGAUAGGUGACCUGGCGAGUGAUGACAUGCUGAGAACAUAUAGCGUUCUUGCGUGUGAUGUGAGCCAGUUCAAGUUCAAGUUACUUUUGGCGCUUCCCAAGGACAUGAGGAAGGGUUACUGCCUGCUCCUCUUGGAAAAUCGUCUUUAA
RNAcentral lists this ribosomal RNA (468 nucleotides) under Triticum aestivum (bread wheat). RNAcentral's name for it is "partial small subunit ribosomal RNA". Lineage: Eukaryota; Viridiplantae; Streptophyta; Magnoliopsida; Poales; Poaceae. The record is from RNAcentral.